GCAGAGUCACUCCUACGGGAGGCUAGCUAGUGGGGUAAUAUUGCACAAUUGGGCGCAAGCCUGAUUGCAGCCAUGUCCGCGUGUAUGAAGAAGGCCUUCGGUUGUAAAGUACUUUCAGCAGUGAGGAAGGUGGAUAUGUUAAUAGCAUAUUCAUUUGACGUUAGCUGCAGAAGAAGCACCGGCUAACUCCGUGCCAGCAGCCGCGGUAAUACGGAGGGUGCGAGCGUUAAUCGGAAUUACUGGGCGUAAAGCGCAUGCAGGUGGUUUGUUAAGUCAGAUGUGAAAGCCCGGGGCUCAACCUCGGAAUUGCAUUUGAAACUGGCAAACUAGAGUACUGUAGAGGGGGUAGAAUUUCAGGUGUAGCGGUGAAAUGCGUAGAGAUCUGAAGGAAUACCGGUGGCGAAGGCGGCCCCCUGGACAGAUACUGACACUCAGAUGCGAAAGCGUGGGGAGCAAACAGGAUUAGAUACCCUGGUAG
RNAcentral lists this ribosomal RNA (478 nucleotides) under uncultured bacterium. RNAcentral describes it as "bacterial SSU rRNA". It matches the Rfam family "Bacterial small subunit ribosomal RNA", at positions 324 to 793 of the family's 1533-position model. The record is from RNAcentral.